Long non-coding RNA from Alnus glutinosa, 815 nucleotides. RefSeq lists it as uncharacterized. The record is from RefSeq and is a predicted model, not a curated record. The transcript has 2 exons. Lineage: Eukaryota; Viridiplantae; Streptophyta; Magnoliopsida; Fagales; Betulaceae.
UUUCCUCCCAAUAUACGGUCUGUCUCUCUGAGUGUCUUCUCCUGAUUCUUUUCUUUUUUUUCUUACCCAUUCUCCUCCCUCUUUUUUCCUUUCCCCUUUCUCCUGACCCAUUCUCCAUUCUCCUUUCUCCAGAAAAAAUCGUUUGAUGUCAUGCAGGUAAGGUUUUAGGCAGAAAAUUUUGGGAUGAUACCUGAACAUUUGCCGGAAAAAAUCGCCUGAUACCUGUACCUUUGCCCGGCGAUUUCCUCAACCUCCUGGGACCACAAUUUUCGCGUGGCUCCGGAGCCCCCAGUUCCAGAUCUGGACUCGCCUGGAGCGGUGUGGGUGGUGGACAUGAAGCGGCCAGAUCUGGACUCGCCUGAACGUUCUUUCCCCCUCCAACUCGACCUCUCUCCAGGUAGGGGAGGAAGAGGAAGUUAUCAUAGGCCCUAAGGGGGCGUUUUGGUGCAUGGAGCUUAGGCAGGGGAAGCAAUCAGGAUAGUGGUGACUACAACAGAGUAAGAGGAAUGAUUUUUAUCAACCUGGUUCACGAUGAGACAAAAACGCCUAAGGCAAUCAAGCAUCUACAGAUGGACAGAAAUAUUCAUGGAUCAUAACUUAGGCUUUUGAUCUGAGGGUCAUUUGAGCCAUUUAGGAUCUUUAGGUUUUUGGUGAGACUUGUUUGUGUUGUUCUUGUUUGGGUAUAGCUAUGUUGCUUUUUCCCCUGUAAUGAGUUUUAUUAUGCAAUUCAAGUGGGAAUUUUAUUGGCAUUUUGAGCCCCGAGUUUUCAAUAAAACAAGAUGCUUGUCUAAUAUAUGAUUCAUACUUUUUCUGAA